UCCCACCACCGAUGAAUGGGUUAUUGUGUAUUCCUCAAUCCUCAUCUCUGACUAGACUUCCUCUAUCGUUUCUCUCUCGCCAAUUGGAAUCUUUAUAGGUUUUCUCGGCAAUGGAAAUUGGGUCUUGCUCUGACGCUCGUCUUAUCGACGAUUCACAAGAAAGAUGGGGUUAGAAGAAUCUGUAGAGGCUUACCUGUGUCUCUACAUGGUGUGAUUAUUCACCGUGGCUUAUACUUUGGAGGGCUCAAGCUGUGACUUCAUCUGCUGGAUUGGCUUCUUACCCAUUGGCCAUUGUGAAAGACAUGGAUUGGUCUAAGCCCAAAUAUUGGCACUGCAUUCGUUUUUGAUAUUUUCUUGUCAAUGCUUUCUUCUCCCCAUAUGGAUAAAGCUGCGAGGUAAGCUAGAAGUGAUAUUUUCUUGUCAAUCGCUUUAUUAUGGAUAAAGAUUACAAAGGUUCGAACUUUGAGAUACUCUUGUUGCUGCAACCUUUCUCAUAACAGAUAAUGUGGAUUUUAUUACUUGGUUGCUGCAACCUUUCUGUUGUUCUUGUUGGACUCUUAUAGACUCUGUUUUCUCAUCUUCUUCUCCUCGUGCUUCUUUUCUUCUCUUCAUCAUCUUCUCACUAACUCUUUUCUCUUUGUUGCAGGUUAAUCUCAACACUAACCUCAGUCUGUUUUUAUACUGCAAUUUGCUCAUAUGUUCAAUACUAAAAGACGUCACAAAGAGCAUGCAACUACGGCAUGUAAGAGUUGAGAUUAACCUGAUGAUUCAUUUUGUUUCUUACAGAUUGAAUCAUCUAUCCCCCCUUCUGGUCAGAUAGGAGUUGCAUCGGUUCAAGGGGAGGUUGGGGACAUCAUUCCGAUGAAAACUAUGAAAAUGGCUUGGGAACCGUACAUCCCACUUGAAAAAAGGAAUAGACAAGUUGAUAGAAUGAACUUUCAAAUUAACAUCUUGGGGUGUACUUAGAGAAGGUCUGCUCUCAAACAUUUGAAGGAUGAUCGUGUUAAAAAGUUCAACUAUUGCCUUUUUUACAUCAACAACCCGUAUAAGGUAGAUGAAUAUGAGCAAAGCACUGUGGUUCAAAUGAUGUUCCCUUCUGAGCCACCAGUAAGUUAUUUUACUCUGUCUCUGUUGCUUCUUCUGACCUAUCUCAAGAGCAUGCAACUACGGCAUUGAUGAUGAAUGAUGGCAAAGUUGAGGAAUCUGUUCAUUGGUAUUUUGACAAGGGCGAAGAAGAAAUUCAGAAGCAAAGCAUUUGCAAUAGACAUUACAGAUGAACUAGCUAGGAUUACACAAAUGGAGCUACAACUUAAGUGUACAAGGCAGGAAAUUGAGCGUGCAGUUGUUCAAGCUGUCGAGAGUAAACGAGAUGUCUGAGAUCACACUUUAUACAAUAGGAUAAGAGAGUCUUUGAUCUGUUAUUAACAUAAACUUUAUAAAAAGUA
This is a non-coding RNA of Camelina sativa (false flax), 1445 nucleotides long. The record is from RefSeq and is a predicted model, not a curated record. NCBI's taxonomy places the organism in Eukaryota, Viridiplantae, Streptophyta, Magnoliopsida, Brassicales, Brassicaceae.